This 254-nucleotide ribosomal RNA is filed under the name uncultured bacterium. RNAcentral's name for it is "partial 16S ribosomal RNA". It matches the Rfam family "Bacterial small subunit ribosomal RNA", at positions 524 to 776 of the family's 1533-position model. The record is from RNAcentral.
CACGUAGGGGGCGAGCGUUGUCCGGAUUUAUUGGGCGUAAAGAGCUCGUAGGCGGUUUCGUAAGUCGGAUGUGAAAACUCCAGGCUCAACUUGGAGACGCCAUUCGAUACUGCGAUGACUUGAGUCCGGUAGGGGAGUGUGGAAUUCCUGGUGUAGCGGUGAAAUGCGCAGAUAUCAGGAGGAACACCAGCGGCGAAGGCGGCACUCUGGGCCGGUACUGACGCUGAGACGCGAAAGCGUGGGGAGCGAACAGG